This 337-nucleotide transfer-messenger RNA is filed under the name Bacillus sp. HNG. It matches the Rfam family "transfer-messenger RNA". Rfam says of the family: Bacterial tmRNA, also known as 10Sa RNA or SsrA, is named for its dual tRNA and mRNA-like properties. Its role is to liberate the mRNA from a stalled ribosome. To accomplish this part of the tmRNA is used as a reading frame that ends in a translation stop signal. Lineage: Bacteria; Bacillati; Bacillota; Bacilli; Caryophanales; Bacillaceae. The record is from Rfam by way of RNAcentral.
UACGGAUUCGACAGGGGUAGUUUGAGCUUAAGUUGCGAGUCGAGGGGAUCGGCCUCGUUAAAACGUCAAAGCCAAUAACUGGCAAAGAAAACAACAAUUUCGCUUUAGCUGCUUAAUAACAGCUUAGCGGUUCCUCCCUCCAUCGCCCAUGUGGUAGGGUCAGGGACUCACUCUUAGUGGGCUACGCCGGAGUUCGCCGUCUGAGGACAAAGGAAGAGAACAACCAGACUAGCUGCUUGGAAGCCUGUCGAUAGGCUGAAGAGUUAGCGAAACGCUAAUAUAUCGACUACACUCGUAGAUGCUUAAGUGCCAAUAUCUUUGGACGUGGGUUCGAUUA